GCACAUUCACAGAACUGUUAUUUAAUGUGCAUUGAUCUAAUGAAUAAAUACCGACAUAUUGUCAGUGGGAAAACAUUAAUUGCACUCAUGUCAGCAAUGCUGCCUGAAAGCUGUGGGGAGAAGGACUCGCCUUUCUCGGUCUUUCUUCGGUUUUUGUCACAUGCAUACAUGAUGCUGAAACAUAUCCGUCCGGCAUUUGACUGAUAUGUUGAAUGACAUUUGAGGCUUUUCUUCUUUUCUUCUACCUUCGACACUGAAGACCAAGCACCAUCUAUCUAAUCUCUGACACAACAACAAAUCACACACAUCGGCUUACUCAAGUUCACACACAUCCCGAAAAUGGUUU
Long non-coding RNA from Etheostoma spectabile (orangethroat darter), 346 nucleotides. RefSeq lists it as uncharacterized. The transcript is spliced from 3 exons. The record is from RefSeq and is a predicted model, not a curated record. Lineage: Eukaryota; Metazoa; Chordata; Actinopteri; Perciformes; Percidae.